This 1035-nucleotide long non-coding RNA is filed under the name Olea europaea subsp. europaea. The record is from RNAcentral. Lineage: Eukaryota; Viridiplantae; Streptophyta; Magnoliopsida; Lamiales; Oleaceae.
CUAAACAAGUGGCGGUGGUUUGUCAAUUGCAUCCCUAUGAGCGGGUUUCUGGGUGUAGCUUGAUAUUGAUUGAAAUAAUCAACUAUUAAUGGCUCGGAUGAAAUUUUCACGUGCGGUGGGAAUUGGAGAAAAAUUUUCAGUGCUUUAUUGUGUACUCUUAAGGCCCCACAACAGCUAUGGCAUUUUUAGAAAGGAUGUGCAAUGUCACAGUACUUAACUGGAUAGGCUGAAGUUGGUUCACAGCCGAACAGAGAUGGAAAUGGGGUUGUUCUAUGGAGGAAACUGUAGUUCUGAUAUAGAAAGCUAUUCAUUUCUCUCUUUUUCCCCUGAUAUAAAGAAUGUUUUGAGCAUUUCUUGCGGAAGUUUUGGACCUAUUGUGAGGUUUAAUCUUAGUGAAAAGUGGAUGUUCUAACAAGUUUGAUGAGAUUGUUAGGCCUUGUUUUAUAAUCGGUCAACCCACUUUUUAGUACAUAUUUCGUAAGACCCACAAGUACUAUCCACUUGUUCACAACUCAUUUCUAUUUAUACAUAAUUUGAACCGUUUAAUCACUACUCUCCAACGUGUUUUAAAAUCUUGUAAAUAUGGUUUGUAAAUGUCGCAGGUAUCUGAUGGACCCAAAUAUGCAGUUUGUCAAGUUUUUCGGCAAGAAUGUAGACGCUGAUUCACUUGCUGAUGGCGUAAUUCAAGAAAUAAAGCAGCACAAAUUGGUAAAAGCUUAGUUCUGCGUUCUCCUGGUCCAGGAGAUCUUGUCUGAACUGUAAAACAACAUUUUUCAUGGAUUUUCAUUAUAGAAUAAUCUCAAGGCUAUAUUUUUGAAGAUUAUAUGAACGUACAUUUUAGAUAACUUCAUACUUGGAAGAAUAAAUUAUGCCGAUGAAGGUAUACUUAGUACACAGUAUGUGACAUGGAAACUAACAAAAUUUUAGCUUCUUUCUCUUCCUCACUUUACGUGACCUAGAUUAUAAAUGCUCGACAUAAAUUUCAUCCUCAGAAUUGUAAUUUUUGCCACUCGUACAAGUACUUUGCCAACAGAG